UACGAAAGGAGCGAGCGUUUUCCAACCUGAUUCGGCGUAAAGUGUUUAUCGGCAGCUCUUUUGGUAUUAAGUAGAAAGAUUAGAGUGAAAUCUAAAUAACUAUUUUUAAAGAACCAUUUUUAGAGCAAUGAGUUUAACAGAGGAUACCAGAAUUCCAAGGGUAAUGGGGUAAAAAUUCCAAGCCAGGGAGGAAUGCCGUCGGCGAAGGCGGGUAUCUGGGUUAAAACUGACGCUAAUGAACUAAAGCGUGGGGAGCAAACGGG
This 263-nucleotide unclassified non-coding RNA is filed under the name uncultured bacterium. Its description in RNAcentral is "contains 16S-23S intergenic spacer region". It matches the Rfam family "Bacterial small subunit ribosomal RNA", at positions 524 to 776 of the family's 1533-position model. The record is from RNAcentral.